Molecule: ribosomal RNA, 495 nt
Filed under: uncultured bacterium
Lineage: Bacteria
Description: bacterial SSU rRNA
Rfam family: Bacterial small subunit ribosomal RNA
Source: RNAcentral
ACUCAAAUGAAUUGACGGGGGCCCGCACAAGCAGUGGAGUAUGUGGUUUAAUUCGAAGCAACGCGAAGAACCUUACCGGGGCUUGACAUAUGGAUGACCGCCAUAGAGAUAUGGCUUUCUUCGGACAUCCAAUACAGGUGGUGCAUGGUUGUCGUCAGCUCGUGUCGUGAGAUGUUGGGUUAAGUCCCGCAACGAGCGCAACCCUUAUUGUCAGUUGCUAACAUUUAGUUGAGAACUCUGGCAAGACUGCCGGUGACAAAUCGGAGGAAGGUGGGGACGACGUCAAAUCAUCAUGCCCCUUAUGUCCCGGGCUACACACGUACUACAAUGGCCAUUAACAACAGGAAGCGAAGCCGCGAGGCGGAGCAAAUCCCCAAAAAUGGUCUCAGUUCAGAUUGUAGGCUGAAACUCGCCUGCAUGAAGUCGGAAUUGCUAGUAAUCGCGAAUCAGCAUGUCGCGGUGAAUACGUUCCCGGGCCUUGUACACACCGCCCGU